RNAcentral lists this long non-coding RNA (865 nucleotides) under Gallus gallus (chicken). Its description in RNAcentral is "long non-coding RNA NONGGAT002540". The record is from RNAcentral. Lineage: Eukaryota; Metazoa; Chordata; Aves; Galliformes; Phasianidae.
CGCUAACCCAGCGGGUACGCGCUGCCGGCAGGGCUUCGGAGACGGGCAGCCGAGCCCAGCCGCCCCCACGUCCCUCCGUAGCGACGGGGCCGGGCCGCUCCUGUCCCUCUCCGCUCUCCCCCCACCUACGGUACCUCUCCCUCUUUGGGCCCCAGCUUGGGGUUGUAGAUGAAGAAACUGAGCAGGGUCGGAGCGAGCUGCUUCUCCUGGCCGGCUCCCGCCGCCGCCGUCGCCAUACUGAGCCGGAAGCGAGCGCGCCUGGGGCCGGCCGCCGCCACACACCAUCGGGGAGCAGCCCGGGGCCCUCCGCCGGCACCGGCCAGGAGCACUUCCGCCUUCCUCCCUCCACCCCGGAAGCCACGGCGCCAUCCCGGAAGUGCUCCCGGGCCCCGCGCGGGCCGCGCUCCACAGCGCCCCCAGCGGUGGGGCGGGCAGCGGGGCGGGGCUGCCUCGUGCUUUUCUGUGAACUUCCAAUUGAAGCAAAUUUCGGUGUGAGUUUUGAAGUAGAAACGGCUACGUAAGACGUGUGGCACUGCUCCGUGCAGUCCAAACACAGACAUUUCAACAUGAGGCCGAAGAAAGAUGAUCAUUUUCAGUGUAAGGAGGAAGCAGACACCCAGCAUCAGUUGCGGGAUCCCCAGCAAUGGCAGCAGAAUCAGCAUUGUCUGGGAGGUAACCAUUGCACAGGGAUUUGGAGCACAUCAGGAACAAACGUAAACACAUGAGAUCUGCUUCAGGACUGGGGCAUUUCCAGGUGAAGUCAUAGAUUAUGACAUGCCAUCGUAAAAAUGUGGCUAAAGAUCACGCAGGCUUCUUUCUGUUGCUCAAUCUGAAUUCUGCACUUUUGUCAGCAUCUCCUUUAAAA